GACGAACGCUGGCGGCGUGCUUAACACAUGCAAGUCGAACGGAAAGGCCCUGCUUUUUUGUGGUGCUCGAGUGGCGCACGGGUGAGUAACACGUGUGUAACCUGCCCUUUACUUGGGAAUAACUUUUGGAAACUGGGGCUAAUACCCGAUAGUAUCUCAUGCUGCAUGGUGUUGGUUGGAAAGUUUCGGCGGUUGGGGAUUGGUUAGCCGGUUAUCUACUUGUUUGUGAGGUUGUGGCUUUCCAAGGCCUUGACGGGUAGCCGGCCUGAGAGGGUGACCGGGCACAGUGGGACAGAGAUACGGCCCAGACUCCUACGGGAGGCAGCAGUGGGGACGAGUGCACGAUGGGCGGAAGCCUGAUGCAGCAACGCCGCGUGCGGGGUGACGGACUUCGGGUAGUAGGCCGCUUUCGCCUGUGACGAUACGUGAGUGACGGUAAUGGAUAAAGAAGCACCGGCUAACUACGUG
This 468-nucleotide ribosomal RNA is filed under the name uncultured bacterium. RNAcentral describes it as "partial 16S ribosomal RNA". It matches the Rfam family "Bacterial small subunit ribosomal RNA", at positions 28 to 507 of the family's 1533-position model. The record is from RNAcentral.